RNAcentral lists this ribosomal RNA (518 nucleotides) under uncultured Pseudomonas sp. RNAcentral describes it as "bacterial SSU rRNA". It matches the Rfam family "Bacterial small subunit ribosomal RNA", at positions 8 to 515 of the family's 1533-position model. The record is from RNAcentral. Lineage: Bacteria; Pseudomonadati; Pseudomonadota; Gammaproteobacteria; Pseudomonadales; Pseudomonadaceae.
AGAGUUUGAUCAUGGCUCAGAUUGAACGCUGGCGGCAGGCUUAACACAUGCAAGUCGAGCGGUAACAGAGAGAAGCUUGCUUCUCUGCUGACGAGCGGCGGACGGGUGAGUAAUGCCUAGGAAUCUGCCUAGUAGUGGGGGAUAACUUGCCGAAAGGUAAGCUAAUACCGCAUACGUCCUACGGGAGAAAGGAGGGGACCUUCGGGCCUUUCGCUAUUAGAUGAGCCUAGGUCGGAUUAGUUAGUUGGUGAGGUAAUGGCUCACCAAGACCGCGAUCCGUAACUGGUCUGAGAGGAUGAUCAGUCACACUGGAACUGAGACACGGUCCAGACUCCUACGGGAGGCAGCAGUGGGGAAUAUUGGACAAUGGGGGGAACCCUGAUCCAGCCAUGCCGCGUGUGUGAAGAAGGUCUUAGGAUUGUAAAGCACUUUAAGUUGGGAGGAAGAGCAGUUAACUAAUAUUUGACUGUUUUGACGUUACCGACAGAAUAAGCACCGGCUAACUUCGUGCCAGCAGC